Molecule: ribosomal RNA, 1430 nt
Filed under: uncultured bacterium
Lineage: Bacteria
Description: bacterial SSU rRNA
Rfam family: Bacterial small subunit ribosomal RNA
Source: RNAcentral
AGAGUUUGAUCCUGGCUCAGGAUGAACGUCGGCGGUGUGCCUAAUACAUGCAAGUCGUACGCACUGGCCCAACUGAUUGAUGGUGCUUGCACCUGAUUGACGUUGGAUCACCAGUGAGUGGCGGACGGGUGAGUAACACGUAGGUAACCUGCCCCGGAGCGGGGGAUAACAUUUGGAAACAGAUGCUAAUACCGCAUAACAACAAAAGCCACAUGGCUUUUGUUUGAAAGAUGGCUUUGGCUAUCACUCUGGGAUGGACCUGCGGUGCAUUAGCUAGUUGGUAAGGUAGCGGCUUACCAAGGCGAUGAUGCAUAGCCGAGUUGAGAGACUGAUCGGCCACAAUGGAACUGAGACACGGUCCAUACUCCUACGGGAGGCAGCAGUAGGGAAUCUUCCACAAUGGGCGCAAGCCUGAUGGAGCAACACCGCGUGAGUGAAGAAGGGUUUCGGCUCGUAAAGCUCUGUUGUUGGAGAAGAACGUGCGUGAGAGUAACUGUUCACGCAGUGACGGUAUCCAACCAGAAAGUCACGGCUAACUACGUGCCAGCAGCCGCGGUAAUACGUAGGUGGCAAGCGUUAUCCGGAUUUAUUGGGCGUAAAGCGAGCGCAGGCGGUUGCUUAGGUCUGAUGUGAAAGCCUUCGGCUUAACCGAAGAAGUGCAUCGGAAACCGGGCGACUUGAGUGCAGAAGAGGACAGUGGAACUCCAUGUGUAGCGGUGGAAUGCGUAGAUAUAUGGAAGAACACCAGUGGCGAAGGCGGCUGUCUGGUCUGCAACUGACGCUGAGGCUCGAAAGCAUGGGUAGCGAACAGGAUUAGAUACCCUGGUAGUCCAUGCCGUAAACGAUGAGUGCUAGGUGUUGGAGGGGUUUCCGCCCUUCAGUGCUGGAGGUGACGCAUUAAGCACUCCGCGUGGGGAGUACGACUGCAAGGUUGAAACUCAAGGGAAUUGACGGGGGCCGGCACAAGCGGUGGAGCAUGUGGUUUAAUUGGAAGCUACGCGAAGAACCUUACCAGGUCUUGACAUCUUGCGCUAACCUUAGAGAUAAGGCGUUCCCUUCGGGGACGCAAUGACAGGUGGUGCAUGGUUGUCGUCAGCUCGUGUCGUGAGAUGUUGGGUUAAGUCCCGCAACGAGCGCAACCCUUAUUGUCAGUUGCUACGCAAGAGCACUCUAACGAGACUGCCGUUGACAAAACGGAGGAAGGUGGGGACGACGUCAAGUCAUCAUGCCCCUUAUGCCCUGGGCUGCACACGUGCUACAAUGGCCGGUACAGAGGGUUGCCACCCCGCGAGGGGGAGCGGAUCCCGGAAAGCCGGCCCCAGUUCGGAUCGCAGGCUGCAACCCGCCUGCGUGAAGCCGGAGUUGCUAGUAAUCGCGGAUCAGCACGCCGCGGUGAAUACGUUCCCGGGCCUUGUACAAACCGCCCGUCA